UACGAAGGGGGCUAGCGUUGCUCGGAAUGACUGGGCGUAAAGGGCGCGUAGGCGGCUUGUAUAGUCGGAUGUGAAAUCCCCGGGCUUAACCUGGGAACUGCAUUUGUGACUGUAAGACUAGAGUGCGGCAGAGGGGGGUAGAAUUCCACGUGUAGCAGUGAAAUGCGUAGAUAAUGUGGAGGAAUACCGAUGGGCGAAGGCAGCCCCCUGGGUCGACACUGACGCUCAUGCACGAAAGCGUGGGGAGCAAACAGG
Molecule: ribosomal RNA, 255 nt
Filed under: uncultured bacterium
Lineage: Bacteria
Description: partial 16S ribosomal RNA
Rfam family: Bacterial small subunit ribosomal RNA
Source: RNAcentral